This 735-nucleotide long non-coding RNA is filed under the name Phascolarctos cinereus (koala). Its description in RNAcentral is "lncRNA (ENSPCIG00000036990.1)". Lineage: Eukaryota; Metazoa; Chordata; Mammalia; Diprotodontia; Phascolarctidae. The record is from RNAcentral.
AUGACUUGUGGUUGUUGAAUUGCGUCUGACUCUUCAUGACCCCAUUUGGCGUUAUCUUGGCUUAUCCUGGAGUGGUUUGCCAUUUCCUUCUCUGGCUCAUUUUACAGAUGAGGAAACUGAGGCAAACAGGGUGAAGUGACCUGCCUAAGGUCACACAGCUAGUAAGUGUCUAAGGCUAAAUUUGAACUCAGUCCUUCUCAACUCCAGGCCCACUCUUUAUCCACUGUGCCACCUAGCUGCCCAAGGAAGAUAGCUAAGAGGACAGAAGUCGCUAGGAGAAGGAGAAGCUGAGAAUGGAAGAAGAAUUUGACCUGGAAGGAGAAUACUGACUUUUGGGUUUUGCUUUGUGGUCUGCAUCUUUUCCUCUCCCUUCCAUGCCCAGAAGUCAAGGCUUAAGGGAACAUGAAAUAAACAUGUGAAGGACUGAAGAUUUCAUCUGUUUGAGCAACCCAGGAGAGGAGAAGCGUUCGGCCUGGACUGCAUAAUGAAGAAAAGUCACCGGCAGGAUCAGCACAUGGCAGGGCGCCAGCUCUGAGUCUGCUCUUCUUUAUGGAAGGCCAAGAAGGGAAGACACUGGGCUGGCGGAAGGCUGCCUGGAGUGAGAUUUCAAAAUUGGUCUUUCUCCUCCGGAGGCUUGGCUUCAAAUCUAAUUAGCUAACUAAUGACAGUAAAUGAUUGUAAUUAAUUGAUGAAUGCUAAAGUGGUUUGACUGUACAAAAGCACUGGGUAAAGCCU